AUUGAUAUCAGUUAAAUAAAUAUCACAAUUUUAUUUUUAUUUAUUUUUAAUUAAAGAGGGCUCAACGACCCAUUUUUUCAUUAAUGUAAAGCAGAUUAUUACAGUGCCCAAAAUCCAAAAGAAAAAAACUUAAUAUAAAACUAAAGAAAAGGAAAGAAAUAAGAAAAGACACAACAAGAAAAUGUCUGGUAAUGUGAAAAUCCAUCAGAUCUGUGCUCUCCUGGUUGGUUUCUUCCAACCUCAGCACAUCCAAAUGGAACCCCAUUGGAGGUGUGAGCUCUCAUAAUUCUUCAAGAUUAUUACUUCUGGUAUUUGAGGUACAGCAAAGCACUACAAUAUCAUGUCAGCCCCCAAUUCUCAGAGAUAUGAUUUAUAGCCAAGUUAGACCAGGUAUUGUAUCCAACUUUUCGUUCCAUAUGUAUCAUCCUAUCUAUUUCUCAAACUUAUGUAGCUUAUGUAAAUAUGCCAUGAGACCCUUAAUUCCGACCAUAAGUUGAGAAAAUUGUGUUUUGCUACUAUCAAUCAUGAUUUCUUUCCCUUUCUAGAUCCCGAUGGGUUGAGUCUCAAGAGACUAAUACCACCAUCUGAGAUAAAAGAUUGGGUGAGAAAGUCACAACUUUUAGUAGCUGAAAAUCAUGUGAACUUUUGCAGAUUACAAAGAAAAAUUGGAGUCAUCAGCUUACCUUCCAUCAAAACUAAUGUCCUGAUUUGGUAUUAGGCGAACACCUCAAUGCUCUCACCAGAUGCAAAUACUCAAACCAUUACGAAAUUACUUCAGACAAUAGUUAACGAAUUUAGAUACUAACAACCAAUUCCCUUUUAUUUCUACCAGAACUUGUAAUCUUCAUAAAUAUGUUAUCAGUGUAUUGAUUUAAUCUACUAGUCUUCUUCUAAUGUGAGGAGUGCCACUCUUGUCCAAGUUUAGAAUUCUCUGCCCUUCCAUAGGAAUGUCUUGGAAAUGGCUAAAUUGAUAAUUACCUGCAAGAUCAAAAACUAGGUUAGCAAAAUAAUCAUCUAGAGUAUUUCCUUCUCGAAAGAUAUGUUGUACUCUCGCUGAUAAUGAUCUCCUCAAAUAGCUUAUGGAAUUGACCUCUAGUGUCACACUCUAAGGGACAUCCCACCUCCCUUCCAAGAUCUGUACCAUGGCCAUAGAAUCAGUUUCAAUAAUGACAUGUGAUAAAUGAUGCUCCUUACAAAAAAACAAUCCUUCUCUAAUAGCUCUAGCUUCAGCUACCAAAUUAGAGGUAUCUUGUAUCUUGAAUCCUUUAGCCACCAUCAAUGAGCCAGAGUAAUCUCUUAUUCAAAAGGCCGCAGAGCUAGGUCCUGGAUUACCCCUAGAUGCACCAUCUGUAUUGCAUUUCACCCAAUUAGUAGGGAGAGGGAUCCAUCUCACAAUGUUAAUGCUAUAGUUAUUUCUAUGCCCCUGUAAAUUAGUAAUGAUAUCCGGCCAACUGUUCCUUCCUAUAUCUCUUUCGAACCUUAUUUUAAUCACCUUCAGAAUAUUGUCAUUAAUCUCCCAAAUGACCUUUCUUUCUGAGAAUGAGCCACCAUGUAAAAUAGUGUUCCUUCUCCUCCACAAACACCACAAAAUGACAAUGGGUGAUUAUCUUCUAAAUUGGAUAUCAUAAUCCAUAAAUAUUAAUUUGUACAAUAAUUUUAUAAAUAAUUAAUAAAAUAUAAAAUUUACUAAGCAUCAAUUUUUAUACUAAUUUUUAUAGUCAUUAUACACAUUACAUAUAAAACAUGUUUAUAUAUAACUGAUAUAAAAAGAUUAAGUAAACCAAUUUGUAUAUUUAUUCCAUACAUAUUAUUUAUAUAUAUCCAUUCUAUAUACAUAUAUAGUUUCCGAUUAUAUAUUGUUUACGCUCCAAACGUGAACAUACCAUAUUAUAUAUCAAUUCCAUAUAAUGCAUAAUUAAAAAAAUCUCUGAUACCUAUUUUAAGACCAAAUGAAUAUGUUAAGAACUCAACAUAAAUAUCAAUUAGUGUAUUUAACGGGUAUAUAAAUUGGUUAACAAUGGUAGAUUAAGCUAAAACAUGAAAAUCAAAUUUAAUACAGUUUUCAUAUAUUAAUAAAAUUUUACUAACAUACAAAUUUGUUGGGCAUCAUUUUUCAUACAUAAUUAGAUACAAUUGGUGGCCUUCAUCUUCACUGAUGCAGAUCUCUCUCAAGUCUCCAACAAGGGUUCAUGAAAAAAUCAAGAAUGACUUGAAGAAGGAAAAAAAUAUUGAAAUAUAGUUAAAGAAUCACUAGUUGAAACUAACUCACAAUUAGUAUUGCUACAAUGGAGAGAAGAUUCACAUGAAUUUCAUCAUGGUUGUGAAUUUUUUUUAAAAAAAAUUAAGGAGAGAUGUUUGAAAUUUCAAGUACUAUUACGAAUUAUUACCUUUUAUGGAGGC
This 2400-nucleotide long non-coding RNA is filed under the name Solanum tuberosum (potato). RNAcentral describes it as "long non-coding RNA (STUB_LNC009327)". The record is from RNAcentral. Lineage: Eukaryota; Viridiplantae; Streptophyta; Magnoliopsida; Solanales; Solanaceae.